GACGAACGCUGGCGGCGUGCCUAAUACAUGCAAGUAGAACGCUGAAGGAGGAGCUUACUUCUCUGGAUGAGUUGCGAACGGGUGAGUAACGCGUAGGUAACCUGCCUGGUAGCGGGGGAUAACUAUUGGAAACGAUAGCUAAUACCGCAUAAGAGUAGAUGUUGCAUGACAUUUACUUAAAAGGUGCAAUUGCACCACUACCAGAUGGACCUGCGUUGUAUUAGCUAGUUGGUGGGGUAACGGCUUACCAAGGCGACGAUACAUAGCCGACCUGAGGGGGUGAUCGGCCAAGCUUGGACUGAGACACGGCCCAGACUCCUACGGGAGGCAGCAGUAGGGAAUCUUCGGCAAUGGACGGAAGUCUGACCGAGCAACGCCGCGUGAGUGAAGAAGGUUUUCGGAUCGUAAAGCUCUGUUGUAAGAGAAGAACGAGUGUGAGAGUGGAAAGUUCACACUGUGGCGGUAUCUUACCAGAAAGGGACGGCUAACUACGUGCCAGCCGCCGCAGUAA
This 511-nucleotide ribosomal RNA is filed under the name uncultured bacterium. RNAcentral's name for it is "partial 16S ribosomal RNA". It matches the Rfam family "Bacterial small subunit ribosomal RNA", at positions 28 to 523 of the family's 1533-position model. The record is from RNAcentral.